ACGUAGGAGACAAGCGUUAUCCGGAUUCACUGGGUGUAAAGCGCGUGCAGGCGGUCUGGUAAGUUGAAUGUGAAAGCUCCUGGCUUAACUGGGAGAGGUCGUUCAAUACUGCUGGACUAGAGGAUGGCAGAGGGGAGUGGAAUUCCGAGUGUAGCGGUAAAAUGCAUAGAUAUUCGGAAGAACACCAAUGGCGAAGGCGGCUCUCUGGGCCAUUUCUGACGCUCAGACGCGAAAGCUAGGGUAGCAAACGGGAUUAGAGACCCCGGUAGUCCUAGCCGUAAACGAUGUGAACUUGGCGUUGGUGGGUUCAAAUCCAUCAGUGCCGUAGCAAACGCGAUAAGUUCACCACCUGGGGACUACGGCCGCAAGGUUA
RNAcentral lists this ribosomal RNA (373 nucleotides) under uncultured bacterium. RNAcentral describes it as "bacterial SSU rRNA". It matches the Rfam family "Bacterial small subunit ribosomal RNA", at positions 525 to 896 of the family's 1533-position model. The record is from RNAcentral.